This 770-nucleotide ribosomal RNA is filed under the name uncultured beta proteobacterium. RNAcentral's name for it is "bacterial SSU rRNA". It matches the Rfam family "Bacterial small subunit ribosomal RNA", at positions 55 to 822 of the family's 1533-position model. Lineage: Bacteria; Pseudomonadati; Pseudomonadota; Betaproteobacteria. The record is from RNAcentral.
AUGCAAGUCGAGCGGCAGCGCGGGGCAACCUGGCGGCGAGCGGCGAACGGGUGAGUAACACAUCGGAACAUGUCCAGUCGUGGGGGAUAGCCCGCCGAAAGGCGGAUCAAUACCGCAUACGCCCGAGAGGGGAAAGCGGGGGACCGUAAGGCCUCGCGCGAUUGGGUUGGCCGAUGUCCGAUUAGCUUGUUGGUGAGGUAAAAGCUCACCAAGGCGAUGAUCGGUAGCUGGUCUGAGAGGAUGAUCAGCCACACUGGGACUGAGACACGGCCCAGACUCCUACGGGAGGCAGCAGUGGGGAAUUUUGGACAAUGGGGGCAACCCUGAUCCAGCCAUUCCGCGUGAGUGAAGAAGGCCUUCGGGUUGUAAAGCUCUUUUGUCCGGAACGAAACGGUGCAGGUGAAUAUCCUGCGCUACUGACGGUACCGGAAGAAUAAGCACCGGCUAACUACGUGCCAGCAGCCGCGGUAAUACGUAGGGUGCAAGCGUUAAUCGGAAUUACUGGGCGUAAAGCGUGCGCAGGCGGUUUUGUAAGCCAGAUGUGAAAUCCCCGGGCUUAACCUGGGAAUGGCAUUUGGGACUGCAAGGCUUGAGUACGGCAGAGGGGACUAGAAUUCCUGGUGUAGCAGUGAAAUGCGUAGAUAUCAGGAGGAAUACCGAUGGCGAAGGCAGGUCCCUGGGCUGAUACUGACGCUCAUGCACGAAAGCGUGGGGAGCAAACAGGAUUAGAUACCCUGGUAGUCCACGCCCUAAACGAUGUCGACUGGUUG